Molecule: ribosomal RNA, 465 nt
Filed under: uncultured bacterium
Lineage: Bacteria
Description: partial 16S ribosomal RNA
Rfam family: Bacterial small subunit ribosomal RNA
Source: RNAcentral
CCUACGGGUGGCAGCAGUGGGGAAUAUUGCGCAAUGGGCGAAAGCCUGACGCAGCGACGCCGCGUGAGGGAUGAAGGUCUUCGGAUCGUAAACCUCUGUCAGCAGGGAAGAACGGUCACUGUGCUAAUCAGCAGUGAAUUGACGGUACCUGCAAAGGAAGCACCGGCUAACUCCGUGCCAGCAGCCGCGGUAAAACGGAGGGUGCGAGCGUUAAUCGGAGUUACUGGGGGUAAAGCGCUCGUAGGCGGUAUGUCAAGUCAAGGGGGAAAUCCACGCGCUCAACGUGGGAACUGCCUUUGAAACUGGCAAACUGGAGUGUGUGAGAGGAUAGUGGAAUUCCAGGUGUAGGAGUGAAAUCCGUAGAUAUCUGGAGGAACAUCAGUGGCGAAGGCGACUAUCUGGCACAUAACUGACGCUGAGGAGCGAAAGCGUGGGUAGCAAACAGGAUUAGAUACCCCAGUAGUC